AGCGAACGUUAGCGGCGGGCCUAACACAUGCAAGUCGAACGAGAAUGAGGGGGCAACUCCUCUAGUACAGUGGCGGACGGGUGCGUAACACGUGGGUAAUCUACCUUCCGGCGGGGGACAACAGUCCGAAAGGAUUGCUAAUACCGCAUACGUCGGCAGGGUCUACGGGCCUGUCGGGAAAGAUGGCCUCUCCUUGGAAGCUGUCACCGGAAGAUGAGCCCGCGGCCCAUCAGCUAGNGGUGAGGUAAUGGCUCACCAAGGCUUAGACGGGUAGCUGGUCUGAGAGGAUGAUCAGCCACACUGGGACUGCGACACGGCCCAGACUCCUACGGGAGGCAGCAGUGGGGAAUAUUGGGCAAUGGGCGAAAGCCUGACCCAGCGACGCCGCGUGGGGGAUGAAGGCC
Molecule: ribosomal RNA, 404 nt
Filed under: uncultured bacterium
Lineage: Bacteria
Description: bacterial SSU rRNA
Rfam family: Bacterial small subunit ribosomal RNA
Source: RNAcentral